AUUCACGCUGGCGGCGUGCCUAAUACCUGCAAGUCGAGCGAACAGACGAGGAGCUUGCUCCUCUGACGUUAGCGGCGGCCGGGUGAGUAACACGUGGAUAACCUACCUAUAAGACUGGGAUAACUUCGGGAAACCGGAGCUAAUACCGGAUAAUAUAUUGAACCGCAUGGUUCAAUAGUGAAAGACGGUUUUGCUGUUACUUAUAGCUGGAUCCACGCCGCAUUAGCUAGUUGGUAAGGUAACGGCUUACCAAGGCAACGAUGCGUAGCCGACCUGAGAGGGUGAUCGGCCACACUGGAACUGAGACACGGUCCAGACUCCUACGGGAGGCAGCAGUAGGGAAUCUUCCGCAAUGGGCGAAAGCCUGACGGAGCAACGCCGCGUGAGUGAUGAAGGUCUUCGGAUCGUAAAACUCUGUUAUUAGGGAAGAACAAAUGUGUAAGUAACUAUGCACGUCUUGACGGUACCUAAUCAGAAAGCCACGGCUAACUACGUG
RNAcentral lists this ribosomal RNA (496 nucleotides) under uncultured bacterium. Its description in RNAcentral is "partial 16S ribosomal RNA". It matches the Rfam family "Bacterial small subunit ribosomal RNA", at positions 33 to 507 of the family's 1533-position model. The record is from RNAcentral.